GAAUGGAAGCAGUGGCCUAAACUUCAGCUCUCCCUGAAUCUUUCCACAGAUACAGAGAUAGAAAACCAACCAAAAGUGUGGCAAUCUGAAAACAGCAAAGUGGAAGGGGUUUCUCAGGAUCUGAUUUACUGUUAGUGAAUGGGGAUUACUCUAAGAUCCGAAUCCCAAGAAUACUUGAUAAGAAGAGAUGGAAACUUUCUUCCAGGUCAAAGUCUUGAACCAGGAGAAAAUUCUGGCAGUAGAAACCAUUGCCCUGAACAGAGCAAUGACAACAAGUUCAAAAGGAAGAUGUUGAUUCAGGACUCAGGAGAUGCAAACUUUGUGUAAAGGGCCAGAUAAUGGAUCUGAGAACGCUGUCUGGGCUUGGUGCCAAGCGCUGGUAUUUCACAGCAGCGACCGCCUCACAGACGAGCUGUGGGAAGCAGGAGGGACACUCUCUCUUAGGGUGCCACUACUAUGGAGACACAGCUGGGCUGAACAAGAUUUGCUUCAAACGACAACAAGAGAGACAGAAAGUAUCUGGUUCAACCGCUGCCCAAGCAGGCAGGCACCAGAAGAGCUAGCAGCCAAUCCGGCCAUGCUCGAAGCCAGCUCUGCAGCUCAGCCAAUCAGUGACAUCACUGAAUUUAGAAGUAUAUGUACACACUCCAAUCCAGAGAUCAAGGAGCCGUGAAGAUAUGUUCUGCAGCUGUCUCCCUUUGAAGUUCUUUGCUCUGAUACUUCAGAUAACAAUAGAACUCGGGGUUCCAGAGAACCAAGCAGCUUGCUCUUCAAAGAAGAGGUGAAUAUCUUAGGUUUACAGGUUAACUUUAAGAAAGGUAAUCCUAAUAAAUAGAAUAUAUGGAGCCCA
Molecule: long non-coding RNA, 850 nt
Filed under: Vulpes vulpes (red fox)
Lineage: Eukaryota; Metazoa; Chordata; Mammalia; Carnivora; Canidae
Description: lncRNA (ENSVVUG00000023888.1)
Source: RNAcentral